Molecule: ribosomal RNA, 2892 nt
Filed under: Pseudomonas aeruginosa
Lineage: Bacteria; Pseudomonadati; Pseudomonadota; Gammaproteobacteria; Pseudomonadales; Pseudomonadaceae
Description: 23S ribosomal RNA
Rfam family: Bacterial large subunit ribosomal RNA
Source: RNAcentral
GGUCAAGUGAAGAAGCGCAUACGGUGGAUGCCUUGGCAGUCAGAGGCGAUGAAAGACGUGGUAGCCUGCGAAAAGCUUCGGGGAGUCGGCAAACAGACUUUGAUCCGGAGAUCUCUGAAUGGGGGAACCCACCUAGGAUAACCUAGGUAUCUUGUACUGAAUCCAUAGGUGCAAGAGGCGAACCAGGGGAACUGAAACAUCUAAGUACCCUGAGGAAAAGAAAUCAACCGAGAUUCCCUUAGUAGUGGCGAGCGAACGGGGAUUAGCCCUUAAGCUUCAUUGAUUUUAGCGGAACGCUCUGGAAAGUGCGGCCAUAGUGGGUGAUAGCCCCGUACGCGAAAGGAUCUUUGAAGUGAAAUCGAGUAGGACGGAGCACGAGAAACUUUGUCUGAACAUGGGGGGACCAUCCUCCAAGGCUAAAUACUACUGACUGACCGAUAGUGAACCAGUACCGUGAGGGAAAGGCGAAAAGAACCCCGGAGAGGGGAGUGAAAUAGAACCUGAAACCGUAUGCGUACAAGCAGUGGGAGCCUACUUGUUAGGUGACUGCGUACCUUUUGUAUAAUGGGUCAGCGACUUAUAUUCAGUGGCAAGCUUAACCGUAUAGGGUAGGCGUAGCGAAAGCGAGUCUUAAUAGGGCGUUUAGUCGCUGGGUAUAGACCCGAAACCGGGCGAUCUAUCCAUGAGCAGGUUGAAGGUUAGGUAACACUGACUGGAGGACCGAACCCACUCCCGUUGAAAAGGUAGGGGAUGACUUGUGGAUCGGAGUGAAAGGCUAAUCAAGCUCGGAGAUAGCUGGUUCUCCUCGAAAGCUAUUUAGGUAGCGCCUCAUGUAUCACUCUGGGGGGUAGAGCACUGUUUCGGCUAGGGGGUCAUCCCGACUUACCAAACCGAUGCAAACUCCGAAUACCCAGAAGUGCCGAGCAUGGGAGACACACGGCGGGUGCUAACGUCCGUCGUGAAAAGGGAAACAACCCAGACCGCCAGCUAAGGUCCCAAAGUUGUGGUUAAGUGGUAAACGAUGUGGGAAGGCUUAGACAGCUAGGAGGUUGGCUUAGAAGCAGCCAUCCUUUAAAGAAAGCGUAAUAGCUCACUAGUCGAGUCGGCCUGCGCGGAAGAUGUAACGGGGCUCAAACCACACACCGAAGCUGCGGGUGUCACGUAAGUGACGCGGUAGAGGAGCGUUCUUGUAAGCCUGUGAAGGUGAGUUGAGAAGCUUGCUGGAGGUAUCAGAAGUGCGAAUGCUGACAUGAGUAACGACAAUGGGUGUGAAAAACACCCACGCCGAAAGACCAAGGGUUCCUGCGCAACGUUAAUCGACGCAGGGUUAGUCGGUUCCUAAGGCGAGGCUGAAAAGCGUAGUCGAUGGGAAACAGGUUAAUAUUCCUGUACUUCUGGUUACUGCGAUGGAGGGACGGAGAAGGCUAGGCCAGCUUGGCGUUGGUUGUCCAAGUUUAAGGUGGUAGGCUGAAAUCUUAGGUAAAUCCGGGGUUUCAAGGCCGAGAGCUGAUGACGAGUCGUCUUUUAGAUGACGAAGUGGUUGAUGCCAUGCUUCCAAGAAAAGCUUCUAAGCUUCAGGUAACCAGGAACCGUACCCCAAACCGACACAGGUGGUCGGGUAGAGAAUACCAAGGCGCUUGAGAGAACUCGGGUGAAGGAACUAGGCAAAAUGGCACCGUAACUUCGGGAGAAGGUGCGCCGGCUAGGGUGAAGGAUUUACUCCGUAAGCUCUGGCUGGUCGAAGAUACCAGGCCGCUGCGACUGUUUAUUAAAAACACAGCACUCUGCAAACACGAAAGUGGACGUAUAGGGUGUGACGCCUGCCCGGUGCCGGAAGGUUAAUUGAUGGGGUUAGCGCAAGCGAAGCUCUUGAUCGAAGCCCCGGUAAACGGCGGCCGUAACUAUAACGGUCCUAAGGUAGCGAAAUUCCUUGUCGGGUAAGUUCCGACCUGCACGAAUGGCGUAACGAUGGCGGCGCUGUCUCCACCCGAGACUCAGUGAAAUUGAAAUCGCUGUGAAGAUGCAGUGUAUCCGCGGCUAGACGGAAAGACCCCGUGAACCUUUACUGUAGCUUUGCACUGGACUUUGAGCCUGCUUGUGUAGGAUAGGUGGGAGGCUUUGAAGCGUGGACGCCAGUUCGCGUGGAGCCAUCCUUGAAAUACCACCCUGGCAUGCUUGAGGUUCUAACUCUGGUCCGUGAUCCGGAUCGAGGACAGUGUAUGGUGGGCAGUUUGACUGGGGCGGUCUCCUCCUAAAGAGUAACGGAGGAGUACGAAGGUGCGCUCAGACCGGUCGGAAAUCGGUCGCAGAGUAUAAAGGCAAAAGCGCGCUUGACUGCGAGACAGACACGUCGAGCAGGUACGAAAGUAGGUCUUAGUGAUCCGGUGGUUCUGUAUGGAAGGGCCAUCGCUCAACGGAUAAAAGGUACUCCGGGGAUAACAGGCUGAUACCGCCCAAGAGUUCAUAUCGACGGCGGUGUUUGGCACCUCGAUGUCGGCUCAUCACAUCCUGGGGCUGAAGCCGGUCCCAAGGGUAUGGCUGUUCGCCAUUUAAAGUGGUACGCGAGCUGGGUUUAGAACGUCGUGAGACAGUUCGGUCCCUAUCUGCCGUGGACGUUUGAGAUUUGAGAGGGGCUGCUCCUAGUACGAGAGGACCGGAGUGGACGAACCUCUGGUGUUCCGGUUGUCACGCCAGUGGCAUUGCCGGGUAGCUAUGUUCGGAAAAGAUAACCGCUGAAAGCAUCUAAGCGGGAAACUUGCCUCAAGAUGAGAUCUCACUGGGAACUUGAUUCCCCUGAAGGGCCGUCGAAGACUACGACGUUGAUAGGCUGGGUGUGUAAGCGUUGUGAGGCGUUGAGCUAACCAGUACUAAUUGCCCGUGAGGCUUGACCAU